Non-coding RNA from Brachypodium distachyon (stiff brome), 246 nucleotides. The record is from RefSeq and is marked provisional. NCBI's taxonomy places the organism in Eukaryota, Viridiplantae, Streptophyta, Magnoliopsida, Poales, Poaceae.
ACUACUCUCUUCCUUAGUUUUAUAAGAUGUUCUGGCUUUGUCAUAUACCAAGCUCUACAAACCUUGACCAAGAUAAUAGUAAAUCGACCGACAUCUACAACUUUAUACCAAGCUUUAUUAAAUCUAUUGCAAUAGAUAUCUUAUAUUUAUUUGAGAAGUUGCUGAUAUUAGUAUAAACUUUGAGAGGUUUGACUUAAUAUAAAACUCAAAACUAUAACAUCUUAUAAAUAGGAACGGAGGUAGUAG